Long non-coding RNA from Amblyraja radiata (thorny skate), 64 nucleotides. RefSeq lists it as uncharacterized. The transcript is spliced from 3 exons. The record is from RefSeq and is a predicted model, not a curated record. NCBI's taxonomy places the organism in Eukaryota, Metazoa, Chordata, Chondrichthyes, Rajiformes, Rajidae.
UUGAAAGGCUGAUGAAGCAAAAGGGCUGCUGCUGACAGCAGUAGAUGUACUUUUAGUAACAUCC